UCUCUCUUCUCUCCCAACUUUCUUCAUCCACCACCAUUGUUGAGCAAGUAAAAAGCUUCACAAGCCACUUCUACACCAUAAUCACCUAUUAGAUCAAGCUAAAAAUAUCCAUAUAUAUCCUUAAAACAAAAGCUUGCUUGAACGCUUGAGCUUCGAGUCAAGAAGGUGGAGCUAUAUUUUUCUCCACAAAAAUCAUAAGAAUACGAGUCGAGGGCGUAAGUGAGAUCACUCCAAAGCACGAGAGCUAAAGCUAGGAUUCCCAGGAUGAGCAAGGUGAGAGAUUGGCUGGCCGCUGGAGGGUUUGUUGUUUCAGACGUCUUUUGGUACCGUAUUCUGUUCCCAUACGGUAGUAUGAACAGUUGAAGAUUAUUUUUUUUUAACUUAAUUAAGAUUGUCACUCUCAGCUAUAUGUCUUCAUACAUAUAGUCUGAUCACGUUUUGUUGUGCUACCCUGAACAAUAUGAAUUCCUGUAAAUAUUUAGCUAUACUCCCUUUGUUUUUGUUGACAAGAAACCUGAUACUUUUGAAUUUAUG
This is a long non-coding RNA of Salvia miltiorrhiza (redroot sage), 534 nucleotides long. RefSeq lists it as uncharacterized. NCBI's taxonomy places the organism in Eukaryota, Viridiplantae, Streptophyta, Magnoliopsida, Lamiales, Lamiaceae. The transcript has 3 exons. The record is from RefSeq and is a predicted model, not a curated record.